This 2028-nucleotide ribosomal RNA is filed under the name Triticum aestivum (bread wheat). RNAcentral describes it as "partial small subunit ribosomal RNA". The record is from RNAcentral. Lineage: Eukaryota; Viridiplantae; Streptophyta; Magnoliopsida; Poales; Poaceae.
AUGUGGAUGCGUCUCUUGUUUCCCGCGCUGCUCGUCGCAACAAUGUCGGCCCCCGUGGCGGAUUCCCUCACCGUGUCGCCGGGAUGUGUAGGUAGAUGCGGCGACGUCGACAUCCCCUACCCCUUCGGCAUCGGCAGCGGCUGCUUCCGCAAGGGCUUCGAGAUCUCCUGCGUCAACAACACCAUGCCGGUCAUGGCGGGCACCACCCAGCGGGUGCUGAACCUGACCCUGUCGCCGCGUCCCGAGGCCCGGGUGAUGCUGCCGAUUGCGUGGCAGUGCUUCAACUCCACCGGCGACGUCACCGGGGACUUCGACGGCAAGGUGAACAUGAACCCAGAAGGCGUGUACCGCAUCUCCAGCGAGCUCAACCAGCUCGUCCUCCUUGGCUGCAACACCUUCGCCCAGAUCAAGAGCGGCGUGAGUGGGCGCUUCAACUACCAGUACUACACGGGGUGUGUGGCCUUCGCCAACGACUCCAGUUUGCCGCAGGAUGGCGCGUGCAGGGGCGUCGGCUGCUGCCGCAUCGACAUCCCACCGGGGCUCACCGACAACGUGAUCGACUUCGAGUCUGGCGGCUCCUGGACGCACGAAAACCAGGAGUUCUGCCCGUGCGACUACGCUUUCAUCACCAACAGGGGCUACUACAACUUCCAGAAGGCCCACCUUCGUCACAUGGACGUGAAUACCAGCAUGCCGCUGUCGCUAGACUGGGCCAUCCGUGACAAUGGCAGCCUAUCGUGCGCCGCGGCGGCGACCAAGCCGGGGUAUGCCUGCAUCAGUCGCCACAGCGAGUGCGUCGUCUCCGCCAAUGGCCCUGGCUACACCUGCAACUGCACCACAGGCCGCGAGGGCAACCCCUACGUCGUUGACGGGUGCACCGACAUAGAUGAAUGUGCACCUCAAGCAGGGUAUCCUUGCCGGGGUACAUGCAAGAACACCGACGGUUCAUACGAAUGCACCUGCCGUCCUGGUUAUCAGAGCAAUGACCCAUUUUAUGAACGCUGCACCCCCAGGUUCCCGUUGGCAGCACAGAUUUCCAUAGGUGUAGUAGGUGGGAUUCUUCUCAUAGUCAUUAUGACAUUCACUAUCAUUAUUAUCAAAGAGAAGAAGAAGAUUCAUGACACAUACAAAAGGAAUGGUGGUCCUGUAUUAGAGAAAGCUCGGACUAUAAAGCUUUUCAAAAAGGUUGACCUGCAGCAAAUUUUUAAAAAUGGCAAACUAAUUGGAAAAGGUGGCUUUGGUGAAGUUUACAAGGGCCUUCUCGGUGACGAAUUGGUUGCGGUAAAGAAACCGAUUAGUGGUAAUGUGCUAGAGAGUAAACAAUUUCCAAAUGAAGUCAUCAUCCAGUCUCAAAUAAUCCACAAGAACAUCGUUAGGCUCAUAGGUUGUUGCUUAGAAGUGGAUAGCCCCAUGCUAGUGUAUGAGUUCAUACCCAGAGGAAGCAUGGAUGACAUUCUUCACGGGGAGGAAAAGAAGCCUCUCAGCUUGGAUGUACGUCUAAAUAUUGCUGUAGAAUCAGCACAGGGUCUAGCUUAUAUGCAUUCUCAAACCAAUAAAGUAAUCUUGCACGGUGAUGUUAAGCCGGCAAACAUACUCUUGAACGAUGAGUUUGCCCCCAAGAUCUCCGACUUCGGCAUAUCAAGGUUGAUUGCAACAGACAAGGAACACACUGCAUUAGUCAUUGGUGAUAGGAGUUAUAUGGAUCCAGUGUACCUACAGACAGGCAUGUUAACCGCAAAAAGUGAUGUCUACAGUUUUGGAGUUGUGAUCCUAGAGCUUAUCAGCAGGAAGAAGGCCACUUACUCUGAAGAUAACAGCAUAGUGAAGAGUUUCCUUGAUGUUCACAAAGACAGGAAGAAAUCAACUGAGUUAUUUGACACAGAAAUUGCAGUAGAAGAAGAUUUGGACCUUCUUGUCAGUCUGGCAGAGCUUGCCGUGGAUUGUCUUAACCUUGAUGUGGAUCAAAGGCCGACAAUGACUGAUGUUGCGGAGCGUCUUGUCAUACUGAAACGUUGCCGUAAACCGUAA